UCACACCAUUACCUACAGCUGAUGAGCUCCAUAAAGAGCAAAACCAGUUAGGUCUAGUAGUACUGGCCUAAGAAAGA
This 77-nucleotide non-coding RNA is filed under the name Dryobates pubescens (Downy woodpecker). Lineage: Eukaryota; Metazoa; Chordata; Aves; Piciformes; Picidae. The record is from RNAcentral.